RNAcentral lists this ribosomal RNA (253 nucleotides) under uncultured bacterium. RNAcentral's name for it is "partial 16S ribosomal RNA". It matches the Rfam family "Bacterial small subunit ribosomal RNA", at positions 524 to 776 of the family's 1533-position model. The record is from RNAcentral.
UACGUAGGCAGCGAGCGUUGUUCGGAAUUACUGGGCGUAAAGAGUGUGUAGGCGGUGCUCUAAGUUCGGUGUGAAAUCUCCUGGCUUAACUGGGAGGGUGCGCCGGAAACUGGGGUGCUCGAGCGUGGGAGAGGAAAGCGGAAUUCCUGGUGUAGCGGUGAAAUGCGUAGAUAUCAGGAGGAACACCUGUGGUGUAGACAGCUUUCUGGACCAUUGCUGACGCUGAGACACGAAAGCGUGGGGAGCAAACAGG